GUCACAAUGCCACUGUAGCAAUGGCAAUGUACUGUCCAAAGACAUACAAUGGAAACUGGUUUAUCUAAGCCUAAUUGCAACCAUUGGAUCUGCUAGGGCAGAUUUUCCCAGUCCCCAUCAUUCGACUUCUGCCAUCAGCAGGCUGAGAAUUAACCCUUUGUCUGUGUCAUAAGGGUAUCCAGAUGCCCCAAGAAUCUGAAAUUGGAAUCCAUAACCUAGGAUUAGGUUCACUCUGCAAUGCAAGGGAAAAGAGGGGCAAAAUCUCUGUGGUGAGCGCAGGACCAGAGAAGAUAAUGCAGUUGAUAAGAUGUUCUGUUGUACUCUCAGCUGAUCCCUAACUCAUCUUGUUUGCCCUGGAGCUCUGAGAAUUCUCACAGACAUCAUCUUCCUUGGUCAAAAUUAAGACCACCUGCUUUUGCAGAGUGCAGAGCCUGGUGUUCAACCCCAGCCACAAUUUUCCACAGAGGAAAGGGACCAUUUUCCAUUCCUUCAGAUUCAAAUCCUGGAGGUUAUCCUGACCAGCUAUGAAGAAAUCUAUGGAGAAAGGACAAGUGACCUUGGCUGGCUGCCAGAUGCCCACCAAACUUCUCUCACUCCCCCUCCUCAAUGGGACAGGAGGAAAAAUAUGACUGAAGAGCUCACACACAGCCUGGGACAUCCCUCACCAGUUGCCAUAAUGGGCAAACCAGACUCAGCUUGGGGAGGACUGCUUUGCUUUCUCAGCAAUUCCCAACAGAGCGGCAAGCUGAGUAACAAAGACAAAACUGAAACCACCUCACUCCCACUCUCCCUCCUCCUGGCUGUGAACACACCUGGUGCAGGUGGCUGGCCAGCUGCAAUGCCAGAUGCAAGCUGAGCUCCAGGUGGGAGCCCAAGACAAGAGCAUGUGAAUGGCCAACAAAGCACAACAAAGGGCACCAAGAGAGGUGGCACAGCUGGGGGAGGGACACCGAGAGACCCAGCAGGAGCUGAGGGCCCUGGAGGAAGAGCCAGGCUUGAGCCUUGGGCAUGCAGACUGUGAGGGGAUAAAACCAAGGGAUUCCUUUGUUGGGGUCCCUCCUCAGAGGCACCAGCGCAGGCUGCUCCUGUGUUAGUGCACUGGGAAUAAAUGGCUUUAUGGAAUCAGACAUCUGAGACUCUGCUCUGGGAAACCUGGGC
Long non-coding RNA from Passer domesticus (house sparrow), 1158 nucleotides. RefSeq lists it as uncharacterized. The transcript has 3 exons. The record is from RefSeq and is a predicted model, not a curated record. Lineage: Eukaryota; Metazoa; Chordata; Aves; Passeriformes; Passeridae.